RNAcentral lists this long non-coding RNA (344 nucleotides) under Malus domestica (apple). RNAcentral describes it as "long non-coding RNA (MDOM_LNC014153)". The record is from RNAcentral. Lineage: Eukaryota; Viridiplantae; Streptophyta; Magnoliopsida; Rosales; Rosaceae.
CAAACAUUCUUAUCUAAUUUUUAAUAACAAAAAUUACAUAUAUUUGGUUUACCAAUCAAAUGACAAAUUAAUAUCACCUAAAUCCUAAAAUCUAGGAGAUAUAUUAUCCCAUAAUUCAUUUCAAACGACACUUUUCAUUACUCAAAUAAAAAAUAUCAUUAAAAUUCUAAAAAUACAACUAGCAUCCUAUUAAACAUAACGUACCAAUUAUGGACAUGAUAUAUGAAUGCAUAUAUGUAUUAAACAUAACGUACCGAUAGCUUGGUACAUAAUUGGUACAUUACAUAAUCUUAGUUUUGGUACGUAUUAAUAUUUUGGUACAUUACAGAUUACUAAUUUUGAUA